CCCUCCUAUCGGAACAAUUUCCAGAUUCUCGCAGAUUGAUAUAUCUAAAUUUUGAAGAGAGGAAAAUCCUUCCAAAUCUGGAAUGGAACUUAAAUUAGGACAAUCGCUUAACUUUAAUUCUUUAAGAAAAGUGAAGAUAAACAACCCGACUCCUAUCUUGCUUAAUUUUCGACACGAGGAAAUGUGAAGCUUUUGAAGAGAUGAACACUGCCCUCCUAUCGGAACAAUUUCCAGAUUCUCGCAGAUUGAUAUAUCUAAAAUUCGAAGUGAGGAAAAUCUUUCCAAAUCUGGAGUGGAGCUUAAAUUAGGACAAUCACUUAACUUCAAUUCUUCAAGAUAAAUGGAGGUAGACAACCCGUCUCCUAUCUUGCUUAAUUUUCGACACGAGGAAAUGCGAAGCUUUUUAAGAGAUGAACACUGCCCUCCUAUCGGAACAAUUUCCAGAUUCUCGCAGAUUGAUAUAUCUAAAAUUCGAAGAGAGGAAAAUCCUUCCAAAUCUGGAAUGGAGCUUAAAUUAGGACAAUCACUUAACUUCAAUUCUUCAAGAUAAAUGGAGGUAGACAACCCGUCUCCUAUCUUGCUUAAUUUUGGACACGAGGAAAUGUGAAGCUUUUGAAGAGAUGAACAUCUUCCUCUUAUUGGAACAAUUUCAAGUUCUCUGCAGCUUGAUAUAUCAAGAUUUCGAAGAAAUGAAAAUCCAUCC
Molecule: long non-coding RNA, 703 nt
Filed under: Gossypium barbadense (sea-island cotton)
Lineage: Eukaryota; Viridiplantae; Streptophyta; Magnoliopsida; Malvales; Malvaceae
Description: long non-coding RNA (GBAR_LNC001043)
Source: RNAcentral